RNAcentral lists this ribosomal RNA (446 nucleotides) under uncultured Prevotella sp. RNAcentral describes it as "bacterial SSU rRNA". It matches the Rfam family "Bacterial small subunit ribosomal RNA", at positions 354 to 794 of the family's 1533-position model. The record is from RNAcentral. Lineage: Bacteria; Pseudomonadati; Bacteroidota; Bacteroidia; Bacteroidales; Prevotellaceae.
UGAGGGAAUAUUUGGGGUCAAUGGACGGGAGUCUGAACCAGCCAAGUAGCGUGCAGGACGACGGCCCUAUGGGUUGUAAACUGCUUUUAUAGGGGGAUAAAGUGUGCCACGUGUGGCAUAUUGCAGGUACCCUAUGAAUAAGGACCGGCUAAUUCCGUGCCAGCAGCCGCGGUAAUACGGAAGGUCCGGGCGUUAUCCGGAUUUAUUGGGUUUAAAGGGAGCGUAGGCUGUCCUUUAAGCGUGUUGUGAAAUGUAGGCGCUCAACGCCUGCACUGCAGCGCGAACUGAAGGACUUGAGUGUGUACGACGCUGGCGGAAUUCGUGGUGUAGCGGUGAAAUGCUUAGAUAUCACGAAGAACUCCGAUUGCGAAGGCAGCUGGCGAGAGCACAACUGACGCUGAAGCUCGAAAGUGCGGGUAUCGAACAGGAUUAGAUACCCUGGUAGU